GUAGGUAUAGCUCAGUGGUAGAGUAUGUGUUAGCAUGUGUGAGGUCCUGGGUUCAACCCCCAGUACCUCCA
Molecule: transfer RNA, 71 nt
Filed under: Camelus bactrianus (Bactrian camel)
Lineage: Eukaryota; Metazoa; Chordata; Mammalia; Artiodactyla; Camelidae
Also listed under: 2 other names
Rfam family: tRNA
About the family: Transfer RNA (tRNA) molecules are approximately 80 nucleotides in length. Their secondary structure includes four short double-helical elements and three loops (D, anti-codon, and T loops).
Source: Rfam by way of RNAcentral